This 729-nucleotide ribosomal RNA is filed under the name uncultured Acidobacteriota bacterium. RNAcentral's name for it is "bacterial SSU rRNA". It matches the Rfam family "Bacterial small subunit ribosomal RNA", at positions 68 to 776 of the family's 1533-position model. The record is from RNAcentral. Lineage: Bacteria; Pseudomonadati; Acidobacteriota.
GCGAAAGCCCCGCAAGGGGCAAGUAGAGUGGCAAACGGGUGAGUAACACGUGGGUGACCUGCCUUCGAGCGGGGGAUAACGUCCCGAAAGGGACGCUAAUACCGCAUAACAUCCUGCCUUUGAAGAGGUGGAGAUCAAAGCUGGGGAUCGCAAGACCCGGCACUUGAAGAGGGGCCCGCGUCUGAUUAGCUAGUUGGUGGGGUAAUGGCCUACCAAGGCAACGAUCAGUAUCCGGCCUGAGAGGGCGGACGGACACACUGGGACUGAGACACGGCCCAGACUCCUACGGGAGGCAGCAGUGGGGAAUUGUUCGCAAUGGGCGCAAGCCUGACGACGCAACGCCGCGUGGAGGAUGAAGAUUUUCGGAUCGUAAACUCCUGUCGAACGGGACGAACAGAUUGCGGGUUAACAGCCCGUAGUCCUGACGGUACCGUUAAAGGAAACCCCGGCUAACUCCGUGCCAGCAGCCGCGGUAAUACGGGGGGGGUAAGCGUUGUUCGGAAUUACUGGGCGUAAAGGGCUCGUAGGCGGCCAACUAAGUCAGACGUGAAAUCCCUCAGCUUAACUGGGGAACUGCGUCUGAUACUGGAUGGCUUGGAUUUGGGAGAGGGAUGCGGAAUUCCAGGUGUAGCGGUGAAAUGCGUAGAUAUCUGGAGGAACACCGGUGGCGAAGGCGGCAUCCUGGACCAAUAUUGACGCUGAGGAGCGAAAGCUAGGGGAGCAAACGGG